CAGUACCUUAGCAGCAAUAGCACGGAGGUAUUUUGCGCGUUGUGCCCCUGUUGUAGAACCCCAGUCAUCCCUCGCAAUCGCUUUCCGUGCUGCUUCCACAGCUAUAUCCACAUCUUCCGCGGUAGCCGCCGGAAUAUCCCCGAUGAUUUCUUCAGUAGCCGGAUUGAUUAUCGGAAUCCGGUCCUUCUUGACCGGUUCUCUCCAUUCUCCGCCGAUGUACAGCUGUCGACGAGGGAUUGCUACAUUACGAUUUG
RNAcentral lists this unclassified non-coding RNA (254 nucleotides) under Hevea brasiliensis (rubber tree). The record is from RNAcentral. Lineage: Eukaryota; Viridiplantae; Streptophyta; Magnoliopsida; Malpighiales; Euphorbiaceae.